CUUGAGCAAGGACAGGAUUGGGACAACCUUAGGCUCCUAACAGAAACCAGAGAAGGAGAGUUAGAACAUGUUCAUUAGUCCUUUAUAGUAUCUUUGCAUGUAAAUAGUUAUUAACCAAGGUGUCAAGUAUUGUAACAGAGAUGCAGGAGAUUUGUCUAGACCAUUCCUCAAGAAGCCAGGAAAAGUUAACCAAGAAUCACACUCAGUCUGCCAGUGUUCUUCCAAUGAUUUAUGUCAACAGUGCAUCCAAACUGAACUGGUUGGCUAUACCAACCUGUAAUUUCCAAUUGAAUCCUUGGCAAGUCCCCCUUGGAGGCUAUCUUGCCAAGAGGUCAAGGUCGGGGAGCAAGUCAGAGAUCAGAGUCUUUGGCUUCCAGGAGCCAGCAAAAACAUGGAAGAAGAGAGACUUUCUGUAAAGACAACCUUCCUGGAUAGGUCUUGCUUUCAGGAGUUGAUACCAGGGCCUUAGGAAUGCUCAAAGUGGUCUACUGAGGAGCUACAUCCCAGCCCCUGCUAUAAAAUUCUGAUCUGGAUAAAUUUACAUUCAGAAGAGAUCGAUGAAAACAACUGUAAAUAAUGCUGCAUUGUGUGCCUCAUCCAGAUCACUGAACAGAAAUUGGCAAUUCAGUACUCACAGUGCCUAGCCAAACUAAACACUAGUGAAUACUGUGGACUUACUAAAGAUGUUUAAGUAUGCAACACCCAUGGAGGCUCUGAACUUUUUUCGAUUAUAGCCUUUUUUCUGAUGCCCAUAAAUGACAUUUGGGUGGCUCAGGAUGUCUACCACAACAAGAUGUGGAUCACUAAAGAAAUGUAACUUUGGACCAAGAAGCCACUUGAAGUCCAGAACACAGCAAUGAUUAUUGAUGUGGGAGCAUUCAUUCAUUCCUGGAGUCUCUGGGUGACGCCAGAGGGGAAAGAGUCGCAUCCUCAAGAACAAAACCUUUUCAAAGGGACUAAAAGUUCUUGGUUCAAGUUCAACCUCAUCAACAUAGGCACAGUAUGUUCUCACAGCUAAUUUCACCUUGAAGAGUGGGAGUUUCACUGCAGACCCAACAACUGUACUGGGCUUGCCCUUCUGCUGUUUCCAACUAGAAAGCUGGGUAGGAGAGCCCAGACCCAUCAUCUGUCGGUGGAGAAAUGGAGGCAGAUCCCAAUGCCACUCAAUAUUUCUUCCUAAGGGCUCUUUGAGACCACAGCAAUCAGGUUUCCCAAGAAAAGCAGUCAUCUGCCAAGCUAAAGAGCAGAGCUGGAGUUCAGGAGGCUGUCACGUUGGCCUGGAUAGAAUGGAUCCUAGAGGGAAGCAGGCUACACAGAUGAACAGGUUGUGAUUGACUUUCCUCAAGACAGUGAGGCUCCAAGAGUCAGGCAAAGAAAAAUUUUAGGUGAAAGAACAGCUACAGAUGGAUGUAAGCAAAACAUUUCCCCAAAGCAACUAACUCAUGGAUGGGAGAUGCUGGACUUCCAACCCACUACAGAAAAGCUGUCUAGGAUCACAUACCCAGAAAAUCCAGACUUAAACUAGUAGAGCUAACUGGUCAUAGAGUUACAGUUAUUCUAGGACUCUAUAACAGAGAGAAAGAUGAAAAGUAUCUUCU
Molecule: long non-coding RNA, 1598 nt
Filed under: Cricetulus griseus (Chinese hamster)
Lineage: Eukaryota; Metazoa; Chordata; Mammalia; Rodentia; Cricetidae
Description: lncRNA (ENSCGRG00015042823.1)
Source: RNAcentral